This 158-nucleotide ribosomal RNA is filed under the name Alpinia galanga (greater galangal). Its description in RNAcentral is "5.8S ribosomal RNA". It matches the Rfam family "5.8S ribosomal RNA". From Rfam's summary of the family: 5.8S ribosomal RNA (5.8S rRNA) is a component of the large subunit of the eukaryotic ribosome. It is transcribed by RNA polymerase I as part of the 45S precursor that also contains 18S and 28S rRNA. Functionally, it is thought that 5.8S rRNA may be involved in ribosome translocation. Lineage: Eukaryota; Viridiplantae; Streptophyta; Magnoliopsida; Zingiberales; Zingiberaceae. The record is from RNAcentral.
CUCUCGGCAAUGGAUAUCUCGGCUCUUGCAUCGAUGAAGAACGUAGUGAAAUGCGAUACUUGGUGUGAAUUGCAGAAUCUCGUGAAUCAUUGAGUCUUUGAACGCAAGUUGUGCCCGAGGCCUUGUGGCCGAGGGCACGCCUGCUUGGGCGUCAUGGC